RNAcentral lists this ribosomal RNA (376 nucleotides) under uncultured bacterium. RNAcentral's name for it is "bacterial SSU rRNA". It matches the Rfam family "Bacterial small subunit ribosomal RNA", at positions 524 to 898 of the family's 1533-position model. The record is from RNAcentral.
UACGGAGGUUGCAAGCGUUGUUCGGAAUUACUGGGCGUAAAGGGAGCGCAGGCGGCCGAAUCAGUCUGAAGUGAAAUCCCGGAGCUUAACUCCGGACGUGCUUUGGAUACUAUUUGGCUUGAGUUCGCGAGAGGUAAGCGGAAUUCCAGGUGUAGCGGUGAAAUGCGUAGAUAUCUGGAGGAACAUCGGUGGCGAAAGCGGCUUACUGGCGCGAUACUGACGCUGAGGCUCGAAAGCGUGGGGAGCGAACGGGAUUAGAUACCCCGGUAGUCCACGCCGUAAACGUUGUGCACUAGGUGUGGGAGGUAUCGACCCCUUCCGUGCCGCAGCUGACGCAUUAAGUGCACCGCCUGGGGAGUACGGUCGCAAGACUGAA